CCCUGCUCAGUCUCGGCUGGGAGGUGGACCGGACGACUGGCAACGGGUGGUGGUCUGACGACCCGAACAGCGGCACAGCGGGCACGGCGGGUCAGCCCAGUCGGGCCACACACAGCAGCCGCGUGGACGCUAACUCCACCAUCAGCCGGCGCCUCCAACGGCGGGUCUCCCUCCGCGCUCAUCCCCCGGCUGCGCCCGACCUGCCUGACCUGCCUGACCUGACCUGACCCGACCUGACCUGACCGCUGACCUGACCUGACCGCUGACCCAGCACCACACCAUCGUCAUGCCGCCCCACGAGGAAGCCCACAACGCCGCCUUCGAGCCGGAGGAGGGCGCAUCGUCUCCCCCCGCCGCGUCAGAGGUCGCCGACCGCUCACCAGAGGUCGCUGACAGCCCGGCAGAGGUCGCCAGCAAGAAGCCCGAUCCGAUGUCUCUUGAGGAGGCUCAGAACCAUGUGGCUACCUCAGCUGGUAAAUUCGAGCGUCGCGAGCGCUGGAAGAUUCUCAAGAACGUGGUGGCGAUCUCAUUUGCCUUCAUGUGCCUCUUCACAUCGUUCCAAGGAAUCUCGAAUCUCCAAAGCUCCAUCAACUCAGAAGGAGGCGUGGGCACCAUGAGUCAGGCGGCCGUAUAUCUGGCUCUGAUCCUGUCCUGUCUGUUCCUUCCCUCGCUGGUCAUCAAACGGUUGACCUGCAAGUGGACGAUGGUGGUGUGCACGCUGCUCUACUCGGUCUACCUGGCUGCCCAGUUCUACCCGCGACCCUUCACCAUGAUUCCGGGCGCGAUCGUGCUCGGACUGGCCGCCGCUCCCAUGUGGUCGGCCAAGUGCACCUACCUCACACAGGUUGGGCGGAUUCACGCUGAAAUCAUCGGGGAGGACUCUGAGCCUGUUAUCGUCAAGUUCUUUGGCAUUUUCUUCUUGUUCUUCCAAUCGGCGCAGAUCUGGGGCAACUUGAUCUCAUCACUCGUUUUGUCCCCGGGCGGCAAGCAGCUGGAGGCCGUCCCGUCGGAGGAGAGUCUGACCAUCUGUGGCAUCAACUACUGUCCCGGGAUCGAGUCGGCGUCCAACAACACGAACCUGGAGCGUCCCCCGGAGAGCCAGAUCUACACGAUGGCCGGCAUCUUCCUGGCGCUGGCCGUCGCAUGCAGUGGCUUCAUCGCCCUCACCCUCGACAAGCUGGACAGGUACGGUGAGAAGGAGCGCGCCUCGGCCGACACGCCGCCGCUGCAGCUCCUGCUGGCCACCUUCACCCACAUGAAGAAGCCCUACCAGCUGCUCGUCAUCCCGCUCACCAUGUGGUCCGGCUUUGAGCAGGCCUUCAUCAUGGCCGACUUCAGCAAGGCGUUCGUGUCGUGCGCGUGGGGCAUCCACCGUGUGGGUCUGGUGUUCAUCGUGUACGGCAUCGUCGACUCCAUCUGCUCAUUCAGCUUCGGCUUCAUCAUCAAGCGCGUGGGCCGCGUGCCGCUGUUCCUGGUGGCCGCGGCGCUCAACUACGGCGCACUGGCGGCCUUCCACCACUGGCUGCCGCGGCCCGACGAGGCAGUCGGGUUCUUCCUGGUGGCGGCCGCCUGGGGCGCCGCUGACGCCGUCUGGCAGACCCAGAUCAACGCCCUGUACGGGGUCAUCUUCCCGGAGACGGCCGAGGCGGCCUUCAGCAACUACCGGCUCUGGGAGUCGCUCGGAUACGCCAUCGCCUUCAUCAACGCCGAGCUGCUGUGUCUGAGGCACAAGGUGGACCUGCUGAUCGCAGUGCUGACCGUCGGCAUGAUUGGCUACCUGGUCAUCGAGCUGCUGGAACGGCGCCGCGCCCGCGGAUCGCUCAAAGUCAGCAAAGAGUAGGGCGGACACGGUGACAGAGUGUAACGAGUGGCACGGGGUGGAGAUAACUAUUUUUUUAUAGUGCCAGGAACCUAGCAUAAUGAGUAAAAUACAAAGAAUAACUAUUCUUGUGACAAAGUAAAAAAUUGCAACAAUUUGUUUCUGAGGUAGAGGUAUGUACUUUGUUAUGUAACAAAUCGAUGUUAAAGCCAUUAAUUAAGAGGGAAAAACGAGACGAGCAUAGAGUGUUAGAUCAAAAACGAUUAGCAUGAUUUAGCAUAGAGAAUCACAAACAAAAUAUUAAUAGACAUACGGAUAGCAUGCUCAUUGUCUCGUUUGUUUCAAGUGAGUUCGGCACACCUAGUGUAAAAGCAAUAGGUAAAAGGUAAAGGUUACCUAGUAUGGAAAUGAACGAUGGAGUCUUGCAUUCGUAAACGUUAGGUAUAUGAAGCGAGCAUUCGGCAGAAUGCCAUGGUUCUUUCAAAGCAUGCCUAACAUUGGACUGCUCAAUGGAGACCGCAAUACCCAUGGACAUGCACUGUUGACGCUCAUAUCGAGUUCAUGUGUUGUAAAUAAUAAAUAUGUAAACUUGUG
This 2413-nucleotide unclassified non-coding RNA is filed under the name Amphibalanus amphitrite. RNAcentral describes it as "uNC93-like protein, transcript variant X3". The record is from RNAcentral. Lineage: Eukaryota; Metazoa; Arthropoda; Thecostraca; Balanomorpha; Balanidae.